UCGAUAGCCGAGGUGGUACUAUGUUUUUCUUGAUCCAAUAGGUCGGUGGAAUAUCCCGAGCGAAGGAGUCCUGAAUUGGCUCCAGCAGGGGGCGGGCGCCCUGGGCCUGGCCCAGCUUCGCCUCCGCUUCGGUCUCGUGGCUUCUGGAGUCUUCUAGAUGAUGUAGAAUUGCGCGGUGCGUUGAUAUCUCUAUGUAAUCCCGACAUGUGGGCCUUUCUUCCUUAUUUCCUGAUAACCCCCUGCAGAAAUAGAUAAACAACAAAACUCGUGGAAUUCUGUCAGAUCAAACCCUAAUUCUAGGUGAUGGUUGCAUAUUGGUCCUUUCUCUUGUUUAUUUGAUAAUUAAAAUUGAUACUUAAGAACCG
RNAcentral lists this long non-coding RNA (365 nucleotides) under Sorghum bicolor (sorghum). Its description in RNAcentral is "long non-coding RNA (SBIC_LNC000812)". The record is from RNAcentral. Lineage: Eukaryota; Viridiplantae; Streptophyta; Magnoliopsida; Poales; Poaceae.